RNA transcript from Argentina anserina (silverweed cinquefoil), 3003 nucleotides. RefSeq lists it as uncharacterized. The transcript is spliced from 20 exons. The record is from RefSeq and is a predicted model, not a curated record. Lineage: Eukaryota; Viridiplantae; Streptophyta; Magnoliopsida; Rosales; Rosaceae.
UCAUUAUCGUGGUGACUUUGAUGACUGAAAAUUCAUGGAGCGAGUUAUCCCGGCAAAAUUGUAACCGUUUCUAACCGACGCCGAUCAGCACCCCAACCGAGAAAUGCUCUCCUCCUCCGCCGCCCUAUUCGGCGGCAGCUCCAUCUUCUCCUUCACUCUCUCUCUUCAGUUCAAGACCCGCGCUUUCCUCACUCGCUUCUCAAUCCAAGCAAACCACUCAACCAAGUCGCAGGUCCACUACGACAGCCUUAGGGUUUUGGAAUGGGAUAAGCUCUGCGACUCCGUCGCCGCCUUCGCUCGUACUCCUUUAGGCCGCGAAGCCACUAAGGCUCAGCUAUGGUGUUUGAGCCAGACCUACGAAGAGAGCCUGAGGCUUCUGGAGGAAACCAACGCGGCGGUGGAAAUGCUCAAGCACGGCGCGUGCAAUUUGGACUUCGGCGGCGUCAAAGUUGUUCUGGUGCAAUCUGCUAUACAACGAGCUCGGAGGAGCUCACAUGUGGAAGGAAUGGAAGCAGUAGCUGUGAUGGAGCUGCUGCAAUACGCGGAGCACUUGCAGAGUAAUAUGAAAGGUGCAAUCAAGGAAGAUGCCGAGUGGUACAGGCGAUUUAUGCCUCUUUCGGAAGUGAUAAUGGAAUUUUUUGUGAACCGAUCACUGGCUAAGCUGAUACAGCAAGUUAUAUAUGAAGACGGCCGUGUUAAAGACUCUGCGAGUCCAAACCUGAAACGUCUGCGCAGUCAAGUUCGGACGCUUGAGAAAAAGAUAUAUCAGUUGAUGGAAAGCCUAGUCCGGAAUGACAAGAGUGAAACACCACUUAUGGAAGUCAGUACUGUUGAUGGAAGGUGGUGCAUAAAAUCCAGCGCUAAUGAAAUGACAACUUUUAAGGGUCUGCUGUUGCCCAGUGGUUCAGGCAAAGGAAGCAUUGUUGAGCCAUUAUCUGCUGUUCCUCUGAAUGAUGAGUUACAACGAACAAGAGCACUAGUAUCAGAGGCUGAGGCAGAGGUUCUCUCUAUGUUAACAGAAAAGAUGCAAAUGGAUCUUGAGAAUAUUGAACGGCUAUUGAAAAGUAUAAUCGAACUGGAUGUGGUAAAUGCCCGAGCAACUUAUGGCCUAGCAUAUGGAGGAACAAGUCCCAAUGUAUUUCUACCAGGAGGGUGUGGCUCUUCUGCUUCUGACGCCUACUUUUCAGAGAACAAACUUCUACAGGCAUCCUAUCCCAAGAGUGAAUGGGUGUUGUAUCUCCCAAAAGCUCAUCAUCCUUUAUUAUUGCAACAGCAUAGACAAAAUUUGAAGAAGGCUAGGAAGGAUUCCAAGGAUGUUACUCUGGCUCCACCGGUUCCAGUAGAUUUUUUUGUCUCACAGAAAACUCGAGUUUUGGUUAUCACUGGCCCUAAUACGGGGGGUAAAACAAUUGGCUUGAAGACUGUAGGAUUGGCAGCUAUGAUGGCAAAAUCAGGUCUUUAUGUUUUAUGUUCUGAGUCGGUACAAAUCCCUUGGUUUGAUUCAGUGUUUGCUGACAUUGGUGAUGAACAAUCUCUGUCUCAAUCUCUGUCCACCUUCUCGGGACACCUAAAACAUAUAAGUGACAUACAAUCGCAGUCAACAAGUUGUUCACUCGUGCUACUAGAUGAGGUUGGUGCAGGAACAAAUCCCCUUGAAGGAGCAGCACUGGGGAUGUCACUAUUGGAAUCUUUCGCUGAAACUGGUGCUUUGCUGACAAUUGCCACAACACAUCAUGGUGAACUGAAAACCCUAAAAUACAGCAAUGACGCCUUUGAAAAUGCAUGUAUGGAGUUUGAUGAAGUUAACUUAAAGCCAACUUACAGAAUUCUCUGGGGAGUACCAGGGCGUUCUAAUGCAAUCAAUAUAGCUGAAAGGUUAGGACUACCUGGCAAAGUAGUUGAUAACGCCAGAGAAUUAUACGGUGCAGCUAGUGCAGGGAUAGAUGAGGUUAUAGUUGAUAUGGAACGGUUAAAGCAGGAGUAUCAAGAGCUUUUAUAUGAAGCACAGAAUCAUCUGAUGAUCUCAAGAGACUUGCAUGAGAAAUUAUUGAUUGCCAGAAGGAAGAUUAUUGAACAUGGUAAUGAUCAAAGAUUUAGGAAAAUGCGAGAAAUAUCUGAGGCUGCUGCAAUGGCACGAUCUAUUCUUCACAAAAAAGCACGAAAGCAACGCGAAUCUGCAAUUCGAUCUCUGCAGCCUACUUUGGAGCGUAAAAGACAGCAUGCAUUAGCAAUGAAAACAACUGAUGUUGGUGACACAAAAAGGUGGGCAUCCUCUUCUGAAGAUGCUACAAAACCGGCAUCAGGUAAGUUUGAGCUUCCCAAAGUUGGCAAUAUGGUGUUUGUUUCUUCCCUUGGAAUGAAGGCCACAGUCUUGAGAGUGGAUCCGUCCAAGGAAGAAAUAUUGGUUCAAGCUGGUAACAUGAAGAUGAAACUGAAAGUAGGCGACAUCAAGACGUGACCUGCAGGAAUAGUUAAUACAUGUACAUGUCAUCGAUGAUGUAAAACUAAAAAUGAAAAGGAUUACUGCAUUCAUACACACAUAUAUGGGAAUCUUGUGAAGUGUAGCCGUAUGUUGGAAUACCAUCAUACUUGUGGUGCAGUUUGGCGAAAGGAAACUAACCAUGAGCAACUGCGGGAGACAGAAGAGGCUAAAACACUCAAAAGAGUCGGAAAAAUAUGUACAUAGCCUCAAGGCAGACACAGAAAAUUAGGAAAUUCGUUGUCGAUGUGAUGGCUUAGUGGUGAAUCUCAGCAAGAAGAUUGCGUGGUUAAAACCUACGUGUACUCAAUAAAUUUCUUCGGAAAAUGAGCCAAAAGUUAAUGUCAUGAAAAAAAAUCAGCAGAUGGAUGGGACAUGACACCGAAAGACCUGCAUUUUCAACAAUUUGUUAAUUUAGUUUGGAAAAUGGCAUUUGCCUUGUUUAUCGUAGCCUGUAGUUGACUUUGGUGCUUUGUAGCUCGUGUGAUUCAUUCAUUUCUGUUUACCUGCAACCCUUGUCGUUA